GAAAAGAAAGCCUGUUUCUAUUAAAAACACAAUGGAUAGCCAGGAUGCAUUUAAUAAUUUUCUAUAAAAUAGCUUAAUAAAGAUUAGAUCUUUAUCUGAUAUGUAACAGAAUAGGGAUCAAAUCUCAAAGAUUCUGAAUCUAAAGUCUCGCGUAGGUCUGAAUCCACAAACCUUCUACUUCGCGCGCAUAUCAAACUUUAUAGGAAAAUAAGAUGAAGCCUCAGAUUAAAGCACCUUCGUAAGGCACCAAAGGGAG
RNAcentral lists this long non-coding RNA (256 nucleotides) under Elaeis guineensis (African oil palm). RNAcentral describes it as "long non-coding RNA (EGUI_LNC024464)". Lineage: Eukaryota; Viridiplantae; Streptophyta; Magnoliopsida; Arecales; Arecaceae. The record is from RNAcentral.